Long non-coding RNA from Felis catus (domestic cat), 989 nucleotides. RefSeq lists it as uncharacterized. NCBI's taxonomy places the organism in Eukaryota, Metazoa, Chordata, Mammalia, Carnivora, Felidae. The record is from RefSeq and is a predicted model, not a curated record. The transcript is spliced from 2 exons.
CCAGGCUACGUCACGGCCGAGGCCGCCAAUCCCGCGGGCGGUGGCGCCGCAUUGGCUGCGGAGCUUUAUUUCUAGAGGUGCCAGUUUAUUCCCGGAGGUGCGGCCAGUCUCCCUGGUUGCGUGUUUCUUAGCCCGUUAGUAAUUAGCGUCUGCGCGAUCCACGUGGGCAAAAAACAUUUCUGAAGGGAUCCUGUGGCGUUUAAAGAACAGUUGGGACGUGAUACUUGUAAGGAAGAUACUUCCUUGACUUGCCCACUCAUCCUGCUAGUGAUUGUGCUGACUAAGCGUGUUAGCAGCCACGGAAAACGCUUCAUGUGUCAACCUUUUUCCCGGGUGUUACAGCAUAGUCAACUGGAUGUGGACGACAUAGUGUCACUGCAUUUGGAGUCAUAUUCAGUACAAGUGUUGGGAAACAAACGCAACCACGCUAGCUUCGCUGGACACUGCAGCUCCUAGAUUAGAGAGAGCUCUGACAAUUCUGUGUGCAGGGAGAACCCAUGUUGGAAUGCUGUAGCCAUAUAAUAUUUAGAGUCCAAGCAAAGAUUCCAGGUGGUCUUUCAACGUUUAGGUCGAGGGAUUAGGACAAGGGAUGGACUAAGAACCACCAUCAAUUCGAAAAUUUGCGACGCUGAGCAGUGUAUGGUGUGGUGCACAUCUGAUCUACCGGUUAUAGAUUUCAUAAAAGAUAUUUUUGUUAAGGACUUCUUAACAGCAGUACUACACAAUCCUUCACUCAGUUCUGUUAGAAGGCUAAUUGGCUUAACAAAUAGCUUCAUUCACUCACAUUCAGCCACAUCCAUUCAACAAAUACCUUUGAGAACUGCUCUGUACCAGCCAACCACCAGACAGGGCAAUGCAGUGAUCAAGAGUCUGGGGAAAGAGGAUGGCUAAGAGGACAAGCUUUGACGUAGAUCAUCUCUGCUCUCAAACCCUAAUUACCACCACCCACAAACUAUGUGCUCCUGGGCAAGUCAUGUAAUCUCUCUUGA